AGAGUUUGAUCAUGGCUCAGGAUGAACGCUAGCUACAGGCUUAACACAUGCAAGUCGAGGGGAAACGACAUCGAAAGCUUGCUUUUGAUGGGCGUCGACCGGCGCACGGGUGAGUAACGCGUAUCCAACCUGCCCACCACUUGGGGAUAACCUUGCGAAAGUAAGACUAAUACCCAAUGAUAUCUCUAGAAGACAUCUGAAAGAGAUUAAAGAUUUAUCGGUGAUGGAUGGGGAUGCGUCUGAUUAGCUUGUUGGCGGGGUAACGGCCCACCAAGGCAACGAUCAGUAGGGGUUCUGAGAGGAAGGUCCCCCACAUUGGAACUGAGACACGGUCCAAACUCCUACGGGAGGCAGCAGUGAGGAAUAUUGGUCAAUGGGCGAGAGCCUGAACCAGCCAAGUAGCGUGCAGGAAGACGGCCCUAUGGGUUGUAAACUGCUUUUAUAAGGGAAUAAAGUGAGUCUCGUGAGACUUUUUGCAUGUACCUUAUGAAUAAGGACCGGCUAAUUCCGUGCCAGCAGCCGCGGUAAUACGGAAGGUCCGGGCGUUAUCCGGAUUUAUUGGGUUUAAAGGGAGCGUAGGCCGGAGAUUAAGCGUGUUGUGAAAUGUAGACGCUCAACGUCUGCACUGCAGCGCGAACUGGUUUCCUUGAGUACGCACAAAGUGGGCGGAAUUCGUGGUGUAGCGGUGAAAUGCUUAGAUAUCACGAGGAACUCCGAUUGCGAAGGCAGCUCACUGGAGCGCAACUGACGCUGAAGCUCGAAAGUGCGGGUAUCGAACAGGAUUAGAUACCCUGGUAGUCCGCACGGUAAACGAUGGAUGCCCGCUGUUGGUCUGAACAGGUCAGCGGCCAAGCGAAAGCAUUAAGCAUCCCACCUGGGGAGUACGCCGGCAACGGUGAAACUCAAAGGAAUUGACGGGGGCCCGCACAAGUAGCGGAGCAUGUGGUUUAAUUCGAAGCAACGCGAAGAACCUUACCUAAGCUUGACAUCCUUUUGACCGAUGCCUAAUCGCAUCUUUCCCUUCGGGGACAGAAGUGACAGGUGGUGCAUGGUUGUCGUCAGCUCGUGUCGUGAGAUGUUGGGUUAAGUCCCGCAACGAGCGCAACCCUUGCCUUUAGUUGCCAGCAUUAAGUUGGGCACUCUAGAGGGACUGCCAGGGAUAACCUGGAGGAAGGUGGGGAUGACGUCAAAUCAUCAUGCCCCUUAUGCUUAGGGCUACACACGUGCUACAAUGGGUGGUACAGAGGGCAGCCAAGUCGUGAGGCGGAGCUAAUCCCUUAAAGCCAUUCUCAGUUCGGAUUGUAGGCUGAAACUCGCCUACAUGAAGCUGGAGUUACUAGUAAUCGCAGAUCAGAAUGCUGCGGUGAAUGCGUUCCCGGGUCUUGUACACACCGCCCGUCACACCACGGGAGUUGGGGGCGCCCGAAGCCGGAUUGCUAACCUUUUGGAAGCGUCCGUCGAAGGUGAAAUCAAUAACUGGGGUGAAGUCGUAACAAGGUA
Molecule: ribosomal RNA, 1500 nt
Filed under: metagenome
Description: bacterial SSU rRNA
Rfam family: Bacterial small subunit ribosomal RNA
Source: RNAcentral